UGCGUAGGCGGCUAGGCAAGUCAGACGUGAAAACCAUGGGCUCAACCUGUGGACUGCGUUUGAAACUGUUUAGCUUGAGUGAAGUAGAGGUAGGCGGAAUUCCCGGUGUAGCGGUGAAAUGCGUAGAGAUCGGGAGGAACACCAGUGGCGAAGGCGGCCUACUGGGCUUUAACUGACGCUGAGGCACGAAAGCAUGGGGAAGCAAACAG
Molecule: ribosomal RNA, 209 nt
Filed under: uncultured bacterium
Lineage: Bacteria
Description: partial 16S ribosomal RNA
Rfam family: Bacterial small subunit ribosomal RNA
Source: RNAcentral